ACUCCUACGGGAGGCAGCAGUGGGGAAUAUUGCACAAUGGGGAAAGACCCUGAUGCAGCCAUGCCGCGUGUGUGAAGAAGGCCUUCGGGUUGUAAAGCACUUUCAGUUGUGAGGAAAGGGAUGUAGUUAAUACCUGCAUUCUGUGACGUUAGCAACAGAAGAAGCACCGGCUAACUCCGUGCCAGCAGCCGCGGUAAUACGGAGGGUGCGAGCGUUAAUCGGAAUUACUGGGCGUAAAGCGUGCGUAGGCGGUUAUAUAAGCUAGAUGUGAAAGCCCGGGGCUUAACCUCGGAACUGCAUUUAGAACUGUAUGACUAGAGUUUUGUAGAGGGUGGUGGAAUUUCCAGUGUAGCGGUGAAAUGCGUAGAGAUUGGAAGGAACAUCAGUGGCGAAGGCGGCCACCUGGACAAAAACUGACGCUGAGGCACGAAAGCGUGGGUAGCAAACAGGAUUAGAUACCCUGGUAGGU
Molecule: ribosomal RNA, 469 nt
Filed under: uncultured bacterium
Lineage: Bacteria
Description: bacterial SSU rRNA
Rfam family: Bacterial small subunit ribosomal RNA
Source: RNAcentral